RNAcentral lists this long non-coding RNA (1371 nucleotides) under Rattus norvegicus (Norway rat). Its description in RNAcentral is "long non-coding RNA NONRATT008306". The record is from RNAcentral. Lineage: Eukaryota; Metazoa; Chordata; Mammalia; Rodentia; Muridae.
GUAAUUACCACGGACUUUACUUUUACCAGUGUAGAAAUCACUCAACAGAUUGUUUUCUUAGGAAUCCCUUCAGGCACAAACCUGGGGACACCAUGAUGAGAAGACUGAAAGAAACAGAAAGAAAUUGACCUCUAAAAUAAAUGGCAGCCUGUAACUGUCAGUGUAGGACACGAAUGCACUUCGUUGCAGUAAGACCUAUCACGUUGUGUUUCGGGAAAGGCUCACACUGUUCCCAGAAGGUUUCAGCUGCAGGUAGUGGACUGGUUCUUCCUUUCACACAUCUUAACCUCAGCGCCUCACCCGUCAGCUUCGGGGUUGGCUUUACUCAGUGCCAUCAAGCACCUCCUUCAGAGGACUUAUCCCACACUUAGCCGUUUAAGCGGGAAUUAAGCAAUCUCCCUCCCCACCCCUCCCACGAAGGCUUUCUGGGACUUCUGAGGCACAGAGGAUGAGUAACAAUCAUGCCAGCAUGGUCUCACACUGAGUCACUUUACCUUUUUUUCCUGAAUCACUUGCGUCCUUGUGUCCAUGAGAUAUCCCACGACUAAGUGAGGAAGGACUAACCAGGCGUCUCACCAGUAAGUGAGGAUAGCCCACGCUCCCUGUUUACCUUUUACCCAGUCUUUAGUAUGGUGCACUGAGUGGUGUUUACUUCCACAACCUCCUCCUCUCCUUCAAGGACUGAAACUGGGGAUUAGUCAUCGUUUGUUCUUUCAAACCUACAGCCUUCAUAAUGGCUUUCUGCUUGCCAAGAAGCUUUAACAUCCCAGGGCCUAGGAUAAGGGCUGACAAGUUUCAUGCUACUCCGGAAAUGUGGGAGCUGAGCGCCCGGCAGACACGCUGCUAUGCAGGGGCUAUUUGGGGCUUGCUUUUAGGGAUUUGUUUCCAAUUGAGCUUUCUGACCUUGUUGAAUCUUCCCAUAAAUAAAGUCCAAAGCUGAAGAGGCAGAUAGCCAAAUGGCCAGCAGCAUGUCCAGUCAGUCAGAGAGCCAAGAGAGCAGCAUCUGGCCUCACAAACACUACCCUUCUUUCUCAGAGGGCCACGGCUAUUGUGGAGCUCCCAGCUCAUGCCAACCCCGCUCCAGAACCUCUCCUCUCCCCUGCCUUUGCUCACCUCCUGUACAGCACAAGAAGCUAAGAAUAAACAAGAGUUCAUGUCACCAAGUCGGCUGGAUGAAUAUUAGUGCCAACUCAGAAGGCCAGGCAGGAGUCGGCACUAAGAGCAGGACAUUCUAGAAAAUGCCAAGAGCACUUCCAUCCAUAUCUCACACAGCCAGGGUCUCCAAAAUAGGCAAGACGAGCUGUGACACAGCAGGAUGGACAAGGACCCUGCAGUGCACUAAAAUAGUCUGCGUGGUAACACACCCAACAC